GUAAACCCAAGGUUUCCAGGGGAAGGUUCGUCCGCCCUGGGUUAGUCGGGACCUAAGCUGAGGCCGAAAGGCGUAGGUGAUGGACAACAGGUUGAUAUUCCUGUACUACCGAUAACCGUUUGAGAGAGGGGAUGACACAGUAGGAUAAGCUAAGCACACUGUUGGUUAUGUGUGCCCAAGCAUUGAGGCAGUCAAAGUAGGCAAAUCCGCUUUGAUAAUGCUGGGAUGUGAUGGGGAGCGAAAUUUAGUAGCGAA
This 255-nucleotide ribosomal RNA is filed under the name Clostridioides difficile. RNAcentral's name for it is "partial 23S ribosomal RNA". It matches the Rfam family "Bacterial large subunit ribosomal RNA", at positions 1339 to 1589 of the family's 2925-position model. The record is from RNAcentral. Lineage: Bacteria; Bacillati; Bacillota; Clostridia; Peptostreptococcales; Peptostreptococcaceae.